RNAcentral lists this long non-coding RNA (1262 nucleotides) under Manacus vitellinus (golden-collared manakin). RNAcentral describes it as "lncRNA (ENSMVIG00005000007.1)". Lineage: Eukaryota; Metazoa; Chordata; Aves; Passeriformes; Pipridae. The record is from RNAcentral.
AGAACUGAGUGGGGGAAGAGAAAUAUCUGGUAAGAGAGGAAAUUUGAUGGAGAGGAUUGGAGCUGGUGACUGCAAACAGUCUUUAUGCUAAUGCACUGUUGGGUUUCCUAUGUUAAUGAAACUUUGCAUGCCUGUAUGGGUUCUUAAUAUAGCCAUAGAAUUAGCCAGUCCAAUAUCUUCACCUUUUUAGUGCUGAUCUUUAUUUUUGGAGCUAUCCUUUGGUGGAAAACCUCAAGUACUGUCAUGGAAAGGAGAUGCAAAUAAUUGUCCUUUGGGUAAUUCCUUUUUUCCGCUGAACACUCUUGUACUUCAUAGAAUCCUAGAAUGGUUUGAGUUGGAAGGGACCAUGUAGUCCCAACCCUCCUGUUGUGGACAAGGAUACCUUCCACUAGACCAGCUUGCUCAGACCCCUAUCCAACCUGAUCUUGAACUCUUUCUGUCUGGUAUUUGCACUCCUUGGCCUAACCUGUUGACCAAUAUGUGUUUAUACUGUUGAAAAGGUGGUGAGGUUGCCUACUGAGAUAGGCCUACUGAGGUUGCUGUUCAUCACUGUGCAGUGAACUCCAGCUCUGUAGGUAAGUGUGAUUAAAUUGGGGGAAUUAGUCUGUCUAAUCCAUCAAGACAGAGCCUUAUUGAGUUGGAUUUCUUUAUUUAGGUCAAAUUCUACACCUGUGUGAGUGGUCCCACCGUUGGGUUGCCUUUCCACAGUCUGCUGUCUUGAGGGAGCCCAGGCCUGGCCACAGUCAUCAGUCAGCUAAGAUGCUUCCUCCUCUCUGCUCCAUAGCCACAAAUGGGCCCUGCUUGCAGCAAUUCAGCAGGAAAGGGCCAGGAUGAGAUAGCUCUGGGUGUUCCAGAAAGCACUGAAGGGUUCAGAUUUGGUGCCAAAUUGCGUGUGGAGAUACCUGCACCGCUUCAGCUGUCCCGGGCACCAGUGGAGGAGGUGCUGACAGGGUUCCCCUGGGCUGAGGUGAGGAGUUACAUGAAGGGGUUUUGUGGGGAGAACUGAGGGGAUGUGUCUGGGCAGGGCUUCAUUGGAUCAAACCUUUUCUGUGUUUCACUGUUUUGUGUGACAUAACGUAAGGAAAAACUUCACAGAGUCACAGAAUAUGCUGAGCUGGAAGAGGCCCAUCACUGAGUCCAACUCUUAGCCCUGCACAGGACCAUCCCCAAGGGUCACACCGUGUGCCUGAGAGUAUCAGAACUCGAGAAGGUAAGAGGGGAGAAGUGCUGAGGAGAAGUAAAGUUUUCUCAUCUGUGCUGUG